RNAcentral lists this ribosomal RNA (611 nucleotides) under Collophora sp. TP-Snow-Y69. Its description in RNAcentral is "eukaryotic LSU rRNA". It matches the Rfam family "Eukaryotic large subunit ribosomal RNA", at positions 38 to 667 of the family's 3401-position model. Lineage: Eukaryota; Fungi; Ascomycota; Leotiomycetes. The record is from RNAcentral.
GCAUAUCAAUAAGCGGAGGAAAAGAAACCAACAGGGAUUGCCUCAGUAACGGCGAGUGAAGCGGCAACAGCUCAAAUUUGAAAUCUGGCCUCACGGUCCGAGUUGUAAUUUGUAGAGGAUGUUUCGAACGCGGUCCGGUCUAAGUUCCUUGGAACAGGACGUCAUAGAGGGUGAGAAUCCCGUAUGCGACUGGGUGCCUAAGUUCAUGUGAAACUCCUUCGACGAGUCGAGUUGUUUGGGAAUGCAGCUCAAAAUGGGUGGUAAAUUUCAUCUAAAGCUAAAUAUUGGCCAGAGACCGAUAGCGCACAAGUAGAGUGAUCGAAAGAUGAAAAGCACUUUGGAAAGAGAGUUAAACAGUACGUGAAAUUGUUGAAAGGGAAGCGCUUGCAACCAGACUUGCACGCAGUCGAUCAUCCGGUGUUCUCACCGGUGCACUCGAUUGUGUUCAGGCCAGCAUCGGUUUUGGUGGUUGGAUAAAGGCCUUGGGAAUGUAGCUCCUCUCGGGGAGUGUUAUAGCCCUUGGUGCAAUGCAACCUACCGGGACCGAGGACCGCGCUUCGGCUAGGAUGCUGGCGUAAUGGUUGUAAGCGACCCGUCUUGAAACACGGACC